RNAcentral lists this ribosomal RNA (1467 nucleotides) under Companilactobacillus crustorum. RNAcentral describes it as "bacterial SSU rRNA". It matches the Rfam family "Bacterial small subunit ribosomal RNA". The record is from RNAcentral. Lineage: Bacteria; Bacillati; Bacillota; Bacilli; Lactobacillales; Lactobacillaceae.
CGCCGGGCGGCAGCUAUACAUGCAGUCGAACGAACCAUCCUGAAGAUUGAAGCUUGCUUCAUGAUUCAGACCUUGGUGAGUGGCGGACGGGUGAGUAACACGUGGGUAACCUGCCCAAAAGUGGGGGAUAACAUCUGGAAACAGGUGCUAAUACCGCAUAACAACUACUUUCUCAUGAUCGUAGCUUGAAAGAUGGCUCUGCUAUCGCUUUUGGAUGGACCCGCGGCGUAUUAGCUAGUUGGUGAGGUAAUAGCUCACCAAGGCAAUGAUACGUAGCCGACCUGAGAGGGUAAUCGGCCACAUUGGGACUGAGACACGGCCCAAACUCCUACGGGAGGCAGCAGUAGGGAAUCUUCCACAAUGGGCGAAAGCCUGAUGGAGCAAUGCCGCGUGAGUGAAGAAGGUUUUCGGAUCGUAAAACUCUGUUGUUGAAGAAGAACAUGCGUGAGAGUAACUGUUCACGUACUGACGGUAUUCAACCAGAAAGCCACGGCUAACUACGUGCCAGCAGCCGCGGUAAUACGUAGGUGGCAAGCGUUGUCCGGAUUUAUUGGGCGUAAAGAGAAUGUAGGCGGUUUAUUAAGUUUGAAGUGAAAGCCCUCGGCUCAACCGAGGAAGUGCUUCGAAAACUGGUAAACUUGAGUGCAGAAGAGGAAAGUGGAACUCCAUGUGUAGCGGUGGAAUGCGUAGAUAUAUGGAAGAACACCAGUGGCGAAGGCGGCUUUCUGGUCUGUAACUGACGCUGAGAUUCGAAAGCAUGGGUAGCAAACAGGAUUAGAUACCCUGGUAGUCCAUGCCGUAAACGAUGAGUGCUAAGUGUUGGAGGGUUUCCGCCCUUCAGUGCUGCAGCUAACGCAUUAAGCACUCCGCCUGGGGAGUACGAUCGCAAGAUUGAAACUCAAAGGAAUUGACGGGGGCCCGCACAAGCGGUGGAGCAUGUGGUUUAAUUCGAAGCAACGCGAAGAACCUUACCAGGUCUUGACAUACCAUGAAAAGCUAAGAGAUUAGUCUUUCCCUUCGGGGACAUGGAUACAGGUGGUGCAUGGUUGUCGUCAGCUCGUGUCGUGAGAUGUUGGGUUAAGUCCCGCAACGAGCGCAACCCUUAUUAUCAGUUGCCAGCAUUCAGUUGGGCACUCUGGUGAGACUGCCGGUGACAAACCGGAGGAAGGUGGGGACGACGUCAAAUCAUCAUGCCCCUUAUGACCUGGGCUACACACGUGCUACAAUGGUCGGUACAACGUGCUGCGAACUCGCGAGGGUAAGCAAAUCACUUAAAACCGAUCUCAGUUCGGAUUGUAGGCUGCAACUCGCCUACAUGAAGCUGGAAUCGCUAGUAAUCGCGGAUCAGCAUGCCGCGGUGAAUACGUUCCCGGGCCUUGUACACACCGCCCGUCACACCAUGAGAGUUUGUAACACCCAAAGUCGGUGGGGUAACCCUUCGGGGAACUAGCCGCUAAGUGACAAUGA